GGCCCGAUAGCUCAAUGGUAGAGCAGCUGCCUCUUAAGCAGCGGGUUGUAGGUUCGAGUCCUACUCGGGUCACCA
This 75-nucleotide transfer RNA is filed under the name Candidatus Uhrbacteria bacterium. RNAcentral describes it as "tRNA-Lys". It matches the Rfam family "tRNA". From Rfam's summary of the family: Transfer RNA (tRNA) molecules are approximately 80 nucleotides in length. Their secondary structure includes four short double-helical elements and three loops (D, anti-codon, and T loops). The record is from RNAcentral. Lineage: Bacteria; Candidatus Uhriibacteriota.